UCCCUACGGGAGGCAGCAGUGAGGAAUAUUGGUCAAUGGGCUUACGCCUGAACCAGCCAAGUCGCGUGAGGGAAGACUGCCCUAUGGGUUGUAAACCUCUUUUGUCAGGGAGCAACGCCGGCUACGUGUAGCCGGACUGAGAGUACCUGAAGAAAAAGCAUCGGCUAACUCCGUGCCAGCAGCGCCGGUAAUACGUAGGUGGCGAGCGUUAUCCGGAUUUAUUGGGCGUAAAGGGUGCGUAGGCGGCCUGUUAAGUAAGUGGUUAAAUUGUUGGGCUCAACCCAAUCCAGCCACUUAAACUGGCG
RNAcentral lists this ribosomal RNA (305 nucleotides) under uncultured bacterium. RNAcentral's name for it is "bacterial SSU rRNA". It matches the Rfam family "Bacterial small subunit ribosomal RNA", at positions 335 to 638 of the family's 1533-position model. The record is from RNAcentral.